RNAcentral lists this ribosomal RNA (1345 nucleotides) under metagenome. Its description in RNAcentral is "bacterial SSU rRNA". It matches the Rfam family "Bacterial small subunit ribosomal RNA", at positions 8 to 1373 of the family's 1533-position model. The record is from RNAcentral.
AGAGUUUGAUCCUGGCUCAGGACGAACGCUGGCGGCACGCUUAACACAUGCAAGUCGAACGAGAGAAGAGGAGCUUGCUUUUCUGAUCUAGUGGCGGACGGGUGAGUAACACGUGAGCAAUCUGCCUUUCAGAGGGGGAUACCGAUUGGAAACGAUCGUUAAUACCGCAUAACAUAAUUGAACCGCAUGAUUUGAUUAUCAAAGAUUUAUCGCUGAAAGAUGAGCUCGCGUCUGAUUAGCUAGUUGGUAAGGUAACGGCUUACCAAGGCGACGAUCAGUAGCCGGACUGAGAGGUUGAUCGGCCACAUUGGGACUGAGACACGGCCCAGACUCCUACGGGAGGCAGCAGUGGGGAAUAUUGCACAAUGGAGGAAACUCUGAUGCAGCGAUGCCGCGUGAGGGAAGAAGGUUUUAGGAUUGUAAACCUCUGUCUUCAGGGACGAAAAAAGACGGUACCUGAGGAGGAAGCUCCGGCUAACUACGAGCCAGCAGCCGCGGUAAUACGUAGGGAGCGAGCGUUGUCCGGAAUUACUGGGUGUAAAGGGAGCGUAGGCGGGAUCGCAAGUCAGAUGUGAAAACUAUGGGCUUAACCCAUAAACUGCAUUUGAAACUGUGGUUCUUGAGUGAAGUAGAGGUAAGCGGAAUUCCUAGUGUAGCGGUGAAAUGCGUAGAUAUUAGGAGGAACAUCAGUGGCGAAGGCGGCUUACUGGGCUUUAACUGACGCUGAGGCUCGAAAGCGUGGGGAGCAAACAGGAUUAGAUACCCUGGUAGUCCACGCCGUAAACGAUGAUUACUAGGUGUGGGGGGACUGACCCCUUCCGUGCCGCAGCAAACGCAAUAAGUAAUCCACCUGGGGAGUACGACCGCAAGGUUGAAACUCGAAGGAAUUGACGGGGGCCCGCACAAGCAGUGGAGUAUGUGGAUUAAUUCGAAGCAACGCGAAGAACCUUACCAGGUCUUGACAUCGUAUGCAUAGCUCAGAGAUGAGUGAAAUCUCUUCGGAGACAUAUAGACAGGUGGUGCAUGGUUGUCGUCAGCUCGUGUCGUGAGAUGUUGGGUUAAGUCCCGCAACGAGCGCAACCCUUACUGUUAGUUGCUACGCAAGAGCACUCUAGCAGGACUGCCGUUGACAAAACGGAGGAAGGUGGGGAUGACGUCAAAUCAUCAUGCCCCUUAUGACCUGGGCCUCACACGUACUACAAUGGCUGUCAACAGAGGGAAGCAAAGCCGCGAGGUGGAGCGAACCCCUAAAAGCAGUCUUAGUUCGGAUUGUAGGCUGCAACCCGCCUACAUGAAGUCGGAAUUGCUAGUAAUCGCAGAUCAGCAUGCUGCGGUGAAUACGUUC